AGAUGUGAGGGCAAUUGGGCUGCUAAAUCUGCCAUCCCAUUGAUCACCAGGGUUGAUAUGGCUUAUCUGGCUGGCCAGGCAGUGGCCCCUUCCUCCCUAACCACUCCGUGUGCAACCCUACUGAAGCUGUGCUCUUGGUCUAAGGGAACGACCACCCCCGAUAGAGGAGGACCCUUUCCUCAGUCAGUGGUAUAGAAGUAGCUGUGCUCCCACUAGAACCUCCAAGAAAGCUCUCAAGUUUAUAUGUCGGAGUGAGAUUUUCAGUUUAAUCUCCCUACCUAACCAAUGUGGAUAAUU
Unclassified non-coding RNA from Octodon degus (degu), 297 nucleotides. Its record names the gene 7SK. It matches the Rfam family "7SK RNA". From Rfam's summary of the family: 7SK was discovered as an abundant small nuclear RNA in the mid-70s but a possible function has only recently been suggested. Two independent studies have found that 7SK RNA binds the CDK9/cyclin T complex (known as elongation factor P-TEFb). The record is from Ensembl. NCBI's taxonomy places the organism in Eukaryota, Metazoa, Chordata, Mammalia, Rodentia, Octodontidae.